GGGAAUUUUGCGCAAUAGGGGAAACCCUGACGCAGCAACGCCGCGUGAGCGAAGAAGGCCCUCGGGUCGUAAAGCUCUGUCAAGUGGGAAAAAAGCUUACUGGUAAAUAGCCAGGAAGACUGAUGGUACCAUUGAAGGAAGCACCGGCUAACUCCGUGCCAGCAGCCGCGGUAAUACGGAGGGUGCAAGCGUUGUUCGGAAUUACUGGGCGUAAAGGGCGUGUAGGCGGUGUGGUAAGUCAGAUGUGAAAGCCCUGGGCUUAACCCAGGAAGUGCAUUUGAAACUGCCAUGCUUGAGUAUGGGAGAGGAGAGUGGAAUUCCCAGUGUAGAGGUGAAAUUCGUAGAUAUUGGGAGGAACACCCGUGGCGAAGGCGACUCUCUGGACCAAUACUGACGCUGAGGCGCGAAAGCGUGGGGAGCAAACAGGAUUAGA
Molecule: ribosomal RNA, 433 nt
Filed under: uncultured bacterium
Lineage: Bacteria
Description: bacterial SSU rRNA
Rfam family: Bacterial small subunit ribosomal RNA
Source: RNAcentral